AGGCACAUAGCUCAGUUGGUUAGAGCACCACCUUGACAUGGUGGGGGUCGUUGGUUCGAGUCCAAUUGUGCC
Molecule: transfer RNA, 72 nt
Filed under: Pseudomonas fulva
Lineage: Bacteria; Pseudomonadati; Pseudomonadota; Gammaproteobacteria; Pseudomonadales; Pseudomonadaceae
Description: tRNA-Val
Rfam family: tRNA
About the family: Transfer RNA (tRNA) molecules are approximately 80 nucleotides in length. Their secondary structure includes four short double-helical elements and three loops (D, anti-codon, and T loops). Further hydrogen bonds mediate the characteristic L-shaped molecular structure. tRNAs have two regions of fundamental functional importance: the anti-codon, which is responsible for specific mRNA codon recognition, and the 3' end, to which the tRNAs corresponding amino acid is attached (by aminoacyl-tRNA synthetases). tRNAs cope with the degeneracy of the genetic code in two manners: having more than one tRNA (with a specific anti-codon) for a particular amino acid; and 'wobble' base-pairing, i.e. permitting non-standard base-pairing at the 3rd anti-codon position.
Source: RNAcentral